Molecule: ribosomal RNA, 496 nt
Filed under: uncultured bacterium
Lineage: Bacteria
Description: partial 16S ribosomal RNA
Rfam family: Bacterial small subunit ribosomal RNA
Source: RNAcentral
GAUGAACGCUGGCGGCGUGCCUAAUACAUGCAAGUCGAGCGAACAGACGAGGAGCUUGCUCCUCUGACGUUAGCGGCGGACGGGUGAGUAACACGUGGAUAACCUACCUAUAAGACUGGGAUAACUUCGGGAAACCGGAGCUAAUACCGGAUAAUAUAUUGAACCGCAUGGUUCAAUAGUGAAAGACGGUUUUGCUGUCACUUAUAGAUGGAUCCGCGCCGCAUUAGCUAGUUGGUAAGGUAACGGCUUACCAAGGCAACGAUGCGUAGCCGACCUGAGAGGGUGUUCGGCCGCACUGGAACUGAGACACGGUCCAGACUCCUACGGGAGGCAGCAGUAGGAAAUCUUCCGCAAUGGGCGAAAGCUUGACGGAGCAACGCCACGUGAGUGAUGAAGGUCUUCGGAUCGUAAAACUCUGUUAUUAGGGAAGAACAAAUGUGUAAGUAACUAUGCACGUCUUGACGGUACCUAAUCAGAAAGCCACGGCUAACUACGU